RNAcentral lists this long non-coding RNA (282 nucleotides) under Elaeis guineensis (African oil palm). RNAcentral's name for it is "long non-coding RNA (EGUI_LNC067584)". The record is from RNAcentral. Lineage: Eukaryota; Viridiplantae; Streptophyta; Magnoliopsida; Arecales; Arecaceae.
GUAGCAGGAUAUUUCUCAUCGGAGUGGCCGUCAGUACUACAGUAGAAAUACUUUUUUUUGCCUGAUGUCUACUCCUUGAGAAGAUCCUUCCUUGGCUCAUUCUUCUGUAGACCUCUGUUCUAAGAGACUCUCUCUUGGAACCAGAUUUUCUACAAUAAGAACAUAGCCUCUUGAACUUUUUAAGGUCUCCUUAGUGAUCACCAAUAUGUUCAUCAAUUUUGAUAAAAUGUUAUCAUACUCAUUUAUAUGGCAGUUUACUCUAAACUGACCAAAUGAACCAUU